Molecule: long non-coding RNA, 97 nt
Organism: Etheostoma spectabile (orangethroat darter)
Lineage: Eukaryota; Metazoa; Chordata; Actinopteri; Perciformes; Percidae
Exons: 3
Source: RefSeq, a predicted model, not a curated record
AGCCAGUUUGUGAUUGGUCCCCGCAAAAUUGUAACGGAAGUAGGAUAGAUAAGGCAGAUCGGGUUGAGUUUACCCAGUCUAGCACAAGCUUCUUCUA